GACGAACGCUGGCGGCGUGCUUAACACAUGCAAGUCGAACGCUGAAGCUCAGCUUUUGUUGGGUGGAUGAGUGGCGAACGGGUGAGUAACACGUGAGUAACCUGCCCCCUUCUUUGGGAUAACGCCCGGAAACGGGUGCUAAUACUGGAUAUUCACUGGUCUUCGCAUGGGGGCUGGUGGAAAGGGUUUUUCUGGUGGGGGAUGGGCUCGCGGCCUAUCAGCUUGUUGGUGGGGUGAUGGCCUACCAAGGCUUUGACGGGUAGCCGGCCUGAGAGGGUGACCGGUCACAUUGGGACUGAGAUACGGCCCAGACUCCUACGGGAGGCAGCAGUGGGGAGUAUUGCACAAUGGGCGCAAGCCUGAUGCAGCGACGCCGCGUGAGGGAUGGAGGCCUUCGGGUUGUGAACCUCUUUCGCUCAUGGUCAAGCCGCAACAAUGGUUGUGGUGAGGGUAGUGGGUAAAGAAGCGCCGGCUAACUACGUG
Molecule: ribosomal RNA, 483 nt
Filed under: uncultured bacterium
Lineage: Bacteria
Description: partial 16S ribosomal RNA
Rfam family: Bacterial small subunit ribosomal RNA
Source: RNAcentral